Molecule: non-coding RNA, 73 nt
Organism: Saccharomyces cerevisiae FostersO
Lineage: Eukaryota; Fungi; Ascomycota; Saccharomycetes; Saccharomycetales; Saccharomycetaceae
Source: Rfam
UUCCUCGUGGCCCAAUGGUCACGGCGUCUGGCUACGAACCAGAAGAUUCCAGGUUCAAGUCCKGGCGGGGAAG